Molecule: transfer RNA, 74 nt
Filed under: Nitrososphaerota archaeon
Lineage: Archaea; Thermoproteati; Nitrososphaerota
Also listed under: 1 other name
Description: Thaumarchaeota archaeon tRNA-Gln
Rfam family: tRNA
About the family: Transfer RNA (tRNA) molecules are approximately 80 nucleotides in length. Their secondary structure includes four short double-helical elements and three loops (D, anti-codon, and T loops).
Source: RNAcentral
AGCCCGGUCGUCUAGUUGGUCAAGGAUGCUGGCCUUUGGAGCCGGCGACCCAGGUUCGAAUCCUGGCCGGGCUA